UACAGAUACCCACCGAGAGAAAAUAACCGCGAUACUACAGUUGAGGAAACAUUCUGGUUUACUAAAUUAAAAGGAAAUGUACCUGUCGAUCUGAGAACAGAGUAUUCAGGUCGCAUGCGAUAUAGUUGUCAAGAGAAAAGUUGCACUCUGAGAAUCACAGACCUGAGAGAGAGCGACUCAGCUGUUUACAAGUUCAGAUUCACAACAAAUCAACCAGAUAGAACUUAUACUAGUUCACCUGGUGUUACUUUGUCUGUCACAGAUCUGCAGGUGAAAAAAUCUGGAGAUUGGCUGGACUGUUUCAGCAGAUGUCAUCUGCCAGGUCAUCCUUCUUACAUCUGGUACAGAAAUGGAGAGGAAAUUCAGGGAAAAACAUCGCCAUAUUUAUGGAACUCUCAUUAUUCUAACAGUUAUUCCUGUGCUGUAAAAGGACAUGAGGAUUUGCCCUCUUCUCCAGUGUGUGUCAAUGGUCAAAACUGCCACAGAGUGACGUACACUGACAGAAG
Long non-coding RNA from Larimichthys crocea (large yellow croaker), 506 nucleotides. RefSeq lists it as uncharacterized. Lineage: Eukaryota; Metazoa; Chordata; Actinopteri; Sciaenidae. The transcript is spliced from 3 exons. The record is from RefSeq and is a predicted model, not a curated record.